This 336-nucleotide RNase P RNA is filed under the name human gut metagenome. RNAcentral's name for it is "Bacterial RNase P class A". It matches the Rfam family "Bacterial RNase P class A". Rfam says of the family: Ribonuclease P (RNase P) is a ubiquitous endoribonuclease, found in archaea, bacteria and eukarya as well as chloroplasts and mitochondria. Its best characterised activity is the generation of mature 5'-ends of tRNAs by cleaving the 5'-leader elements of precursor-tRNAs. Cellular RNase Ps are ribonucleoproteins. The record is from RNAcentral.
AGUGAGCUGAACAAUCGCGUGCAUCCCUUGCGGGAUGUAUGAGGAAAGUCCGAGCAUCGCAGGGCGGGAUAACGGCUAACGGCCGCCGAGGGUGACCUCAGGGAAAGUGCAACAGAGAGAUACCGCCUGCGCACGCGCAGGUAAGGGUGGAAAGGCGAGGUAAGAGCUCACCGGCGCACAGGAGACUGUGCGGCCAUGUAAACCCUAUCCGAUGCAACGCCGACUGAAACGAUACACCGGCCCGGUGUGUUUCGACGGGCGGCUUGAGCUGUCUGGCAACAGGCAGUCGAGAUAGAUGAUUGUUCACGACAGAACUCGGCUUACAGGCUCACUCAU